CCUACGGGAUGCAGCAGUGGGGAAUUUUGCGCAAUGCUCGUAAGAGUGACGCAGCGACGCCGCGUGAAUGACGAAGGCCUUCGGGUCGUAAAGUUCUUUCGACAGGGAAGAAAAUGCCUAUAAGUAACUGUGUAUGUAUUUACGGUACCUGUAUAAGCAGCCCCGGCUAACUCCGUGCCAGCAGCCGCGGUAAUACGGAGGGGGCGAGCGUUGUUCGGAGGGACUGGGCGUAAAGAGCACGUAGGCGGUGUUGUAAGUCAUUAGUCAAAGACUAGAGCUCAACUUUAGUAAGGCUAGUGAUACUAUAAUACUAGAGUAUCAGAGAGGAUUGCAGAAUUCCUGGUGGAGCGGUGAAAUGCGUAGAUAUCAGGAGGAAUACCGUUAGCGAAGGCGGCAAUCUGGCUGGAAACUGACGCUGAGGUGCGAAAGCGUGGGUAGCAAACAGGAUUAGAUACCCUUGUAGUC
RNAcentral lists this ribosomal RNA (465 nucleotides) under uncultured bacterium. RNAcentral's name for it is "partial 16S ribosomal RNA". It matches the Rfam family "Bacterial small subunit ribosomal RNA", at positions 338 to 795 of the family's 1533-position model. The record is from RNAcentral.